AAAUCAUGCUCGAUCGACGGCGAAGGUGCUCCACUGUGCUUAAGAGAAGGAGAAGAAGUUAAAGGAGGAGAAGCCAAUGGAGACAAAGAAGAUCAGAUGGGGGAGGUGUGGGGCAGUAGCGGAGAUUUAGGACAUUUGAAGGAUAUUCAAAAAAGUAGAAGGAGAGUUAGGAUACCUCUAAAAAUUCGAUAGUGGAGAUAGGAGGAGGAGGAGGAUCGAGGAAGCAAAUGGGACUUGGGACA
This 242-nucleotide long non-coding RNA is filed under the name Elaeis guineensis (African oil palm). RNAcentral's name for it is "long non-coding RNA (EGUI_LNC034591)". Lineage: Eukaryota; Viridiplantae; Streptophyta; Magnoliopsida; Arecales; Arecaceae. The record is from RNAcentral.